Molecule: small RNA, 147 nt
Filed under: Loigolactobacillus rennini
Lineage: Bacteria; Bacillati; Bacillota; Bacilli; Lactobacillales; Lactobacillaceae
Also listed under: 1 other name
Source: RNAcentral
AAAUGAAUAUAAGCACUUUAUAAAAUGGAAUCUUGGUGAAAAUCCAAAACGGUCCCGCCACUGUGAUUAGCUUUUUGCUAUAAGUCAGAUCUUUUUUAUAAAGAUGUUCGUGCGCAUGUUAUUUCGAUGUAAAAUGACAUGCUUUUA